RNAcentral lists this non-coding RNA (112 nucleotides) under Pontibacillus yanchengensis. RNAcentral's name for it is "SAM-I sequence". It matches the Rfam family "SAM riboswitch aptamer (S box leader)". From Rfam's summary of the family: The SAM riboswitch is found upstream of a number of genes which code for proteins involved in methionine or cysteine biosynthesis in Gram-positive bacteria. The record is from RNAcentral. RNAcentral also lists the same sequence under 1 other name. Lineage: Bacteria; Bacillati; Bacillota; Bacilli; Caryophanales; Bacillaceae.
AUCUUAUCCUGAGUUGGUGGAGGGACAGGCCCUAGGAAACCCAGCAACCGUCACUGCAUAUAGUGAAAUGGUGCUAACCUGAUGCAAGGUAUUGGACCUUGAACGAUAAGAG